RNAcentral lists this long non-coding RNA (704 nucleotides) under Homo sapiens (human). RNAcentral describes it as "novel transcript". The record is from RNAcentral. Lineage: Eukaryota; Metazoa; Chordata; Mammalia; Primates; Hominidae.
AUCUAUAAAUCUUUGUCAACAUUUUUUCUCCUUAGAAACAGAGACCUAGGCCAGGCGUGGCGGCUCACGCCUAUAAUCCCAGCACUUUGGGAGGACAAGGUGGGAGGAUCACUUGAGGUCAGGAAUUUGAGACCAGCCUGGCCAACACAGCGAAACCCAGUCUCAGCUGGGCGUGGUGGUGUGUGUACCUGUAAUCCCAUCUACUUGGGAGGCUGAGGCAGGAGAAUCGCUUGAACCCGGGAGGCAGAGGUUCCAGUGAGCCAAGGUCUCCCCACUGCAAUCCAGCCUGUGCGACAGAGUGAAACUCCAUUUAAAAAGAACAAAAACAAAAAACAAAACAAAAAGGAAACAGAGACCUAGAAGUGGUAUUACAGCAAAGGUUUUGAACAUUUUAAGGCUUUUGAGCGCCAGAUUCAGACACUCAGUAGUUUUACAUGAGAGUGCUACAACAUCCUCACUAAGUAGUAUUUGGGUUCAUCAUAAUUUUAAAUUAUUUUGGUGUGUCAAUUUGAACACUAGAGUGAUAUAAAAACUAAAAACUUGAAUUCAAUAAUUUUACAAUUGUAUUCCAUCUUAAAAUAUUUUAUGGUAAACUUGGAUAAAGUAUAUAAAUAAUCCAAGGGUGUAAAGUAGAAAGUGAAAGCUCCCUUCUCCCAGUUCCAGCCCCCUGAUGUUGCCAAUAUUAAACGUUGUAUAUCCUUGCA